Small nucleolar RNA from Polyodon spathula (Mississippi paddlefish), 83 nucleotides. RefSeq annotates it as small nucleolar RNA SNORD72. NCBI's taxonomy places the organism in Eukaryota, Metazoa, Chordata, Actinopteri, Acipenseriformes, Polyodontidae. The record is from RefSeq and is a predicted model, not a curated record. The transcript has a single exon.
AGCUUAUCAGUGAUGUCUCAAAAUAAAUGUCUGAACAAAUGAUAUCACAGUGAUUUUUCUAUAUAUCUUUACUGAGAUAAGCU